AGCGUAAAGAGCUAUGUGACCCCUCCUGGAUGGGGCUUCGGUUGGACCUCUGAUUGGGCUCCCCAUAGACUUUGACCCAAGCAUCCUCGUGACAGGGUUUGUCGGAACCGCCAUCGCUUUAGGGUGCUUCUCCGGCGCCGCCAUCAUCACCAAGCGCAGGGAGUACCUGUACCUCGGUGGCCUGACCUCUUCUGGCAUGUCGAUCCUUCGACAUGAAACUCUCAAGAACGCAGGUGACAAGAAGAGGAAGAGGAUGUCCUGAACGUUUCUCCCGCACAUCGUAGAUACCACCA
Molecule: long non-coding RNA, 293 nt
Organism: Triticum dicoccoides
Lineage: Eukaryota; Viridiplantae; Streptophyta; Magnoliopsida; Poales; Poaceae
Exons: 3
Source: RefSeq, a predicted model, not a curated record